UGCCAGCCGCCGCGGUAAUACGGAGGGGGUUAGCGUUGUUCGGAAUUACUGGGCGUAAAGCGUACGUAGGCGGAUUAAUAAGUUAGAGGUGAAAUCCCAGGGCUCAACCCUGGAACUGCCUUUAAAACUGUUAGUCUUGAGAUCGAGAGAGGAAAGCGGAAUUCCAAGUGUAGAGGUGAAAUUCGUAGAUAUUUGGAGGAACACCAGUGGCGAAGGCGGCUUUCUGGACAGUGACUGACGCUGAGGCGCGAAAGCGUGGGUAGCAAACAGGAUUAGAUA
RNAcentral lists this ribosomal RNA (279 nucleotides) under uncultured bacterium. Its description in RNAcentral is "partial 16S ribosomal RNA". It matches the Rfam family "Bacterial small subunit ribosomal RNA", at positions 506 to 784 of the family's 1533-position model. The record is from RNAcentral.